AUUGAACGCUGGCGGCAUGCCUUACACAUGCAAGUCGAACGGCAGCACGGGAGCAAUCCUGGUGGCGAGUGGCGAACGGGUGAGUAAUGUAUCGGAACGUACCUUUCAGUGGGGGAUAACGUAGCGAAAGUUACGCUAAUACCGCAUAUUCUGUGAGCAGGAAAGCAGGGGAUCGCAAGACCUUGCGCUGAUUGAGCGGCCGAUAUCAGAUUAGCUAGUUGGUGAGGUAAAGGCUCACCAAGGCGACGAUCUGUAGCGGGUCUGAGAGGAUGAUCCGCCACACUGGAACUGAGACACGGUCCAGACUCCUACGGGAGGCAGCAGUGGGGAAUUUUGGACAAUGGGCGCAAGCCUGAUCCAGCCAUGCCGCGUGAGUGAAGAAGGCCUGAGGGUUGUAAAGCACUUUCAAUCGUGAAGAAAAGUUGCAGGCUAAUACCCUGUGACCUUGACGUUAACGAUACAAGAAGCACCGG
Molecule: ribosomal RNA, 473 nt
Filed under: uncultured bacterium
Lineage: Bacteria
Description: bacterial SSU rRNA
Rfam family: Bacterial small subunit ribosomal RNA
Source: RNAcentral